UACAUGAAGCUGGAAUUGCUAGUAAUCACAGGUCAGCAUACUGUGGUGAAUACGUUCCCGGGCCUUGUACACACCGCCCGUCACACCAUGAGAGUUGAGAAUACCCGAAGCCCAUGUCAAAGUGGUCGAAGGUAGGCUUGAUGAUUGGGGUGAAGUCGUAACAAGGUAAC
Molecule: ribosomal RNA, 170 nt
Filed under: uncultured bacterium
Lineage: Bacteria
Description: partial 16S ribosomal RNA
Rfam family: Bacterial small subunit ribosomal RNA
Source: RNAcentral